UUUUUUUAGGUUAGAACUAAAAGAAAAAAUAUAAAAUUACAUUUUAAAAAAUGAUGGGCCGGCCCAUGGGGACCCGUGGCCCACAUAGGACUGGGGUGAGCUGACCAUUAUAAGGCCCAUCAAAAUGGUGGGCUAGCCCGCCCCUCAAUUUCUAAAACCCACUUGAGCUGUGUUGGGCUAACCUGGCCCAGCCCAUAUUGACAGCUCUAAUAGCCGCUCUUAAAAUAAUAGUCGAAAUAUAUAUAUUUUUUGUAUAUAUACGUUAUGUAUGUUAUAUACAAAAAUUAUUCCAAUUUUCUUACAAAUUGCUGAAGUUCCAACAUAAUAUGCUGGAAGUUUAUACGCAGGAGCUUCAUAAUCGAGCAUAUUAUGCUGGAACUUUUCGUGUUUCAGCAAAAUAGUGACUAUUUUUCAAUGACUUUAUAAAUACUGACUAUUUUUCAAUUAUCAAUCCGAAAACUGACUAGCCCAUGCUAUUUUCGCAACACGGAGGGAUGGGAAGGAUUUACACAAAUGUUCCUUUUAGGCCACUAUUUAGAUUUUGUCCUCAUUGUAAAAAGUGUGCAAAUAUAGCUCUUGGGAAAUUAUCCCUUCCGGACAACAUUAGCUCGGUUUUAAUGUUUGCCCCUAUAAUUUUGUUUGCCUGCAAAACAUUAAAUUGUGUACUAACGUUUGCAAUAAAUUACGAAAUUUUAUUUAUACUGUGGCCUAACAUUUUUUAUAAGAUUUUCAGUUUGAUUAAAAGGAUCUUUAGACCGUGAUCUAAAAGGAUCAUCAAUUGCAAGAGAAAUAAUAAAAAGAAGAUUAUUUUAACAAAAAGGGACAAAUGGCAAAAAUUUCGCCGUAAAAAACAAGAGCAUGAGAAAAAAAAACAUGUAAAUUACAUCAUCUUUCAUCUUAUAGAUCCAGUACAAAGAGCAACAUUAUCUGAGAGGAGGAACGGGGAGGAUCCAGAUCGCCAAUAACACAAGGAAAUAAUACGAUUACCAUACAAAAUUGAAUAAACAAAUAACUCUAUACAUGCUCGCUCUCAACGGAUAUGUUAACACUCUAAAACAAUGCUACAUUCCACAUGUUAUACUUUAGACAAUAGCACAGGUAAAUAACAAAAGCCCCUUUCAAUUCUGUAUCCAAAGAUUCAAGAAAUGCCAAUAGUUUUCCCGAGCAACCAGAGCACCAGCGCGAGUUCUAUACCAAAAAUGGUGUGAAGAUAACUUCUGUCCAGCAUAAAGCCAUAUAGAGUAACUCCUGCUCUAUUGUUCUCAAAAUAUGUCACUGCAACACAAGCGACAAACCAAAUCAUCGUUAGUUGAUUCGAACAAUACAAUAUUACAGAAUUUUACGUGUAGUACAGCAUAUUUCAAAGGAAGAAAUAAGUAGUGUUAUUAAAAUUUAUCACUUCGUCACUUAAAGAAAUGAAGCAAUGAGAAGCGAAGUAUGUGUUUCAGUGACACAGAAAGUGAUUCCAUCAAGAAUAGAUUCGAUUGCUUCUUUGAAUCUCAACUUUGAUGAGUUGGACUAAUAGCGACAAAAAUGGUGUGAAGAUAGCAAUUAGUUUUUGAAAGGUAAGCUCGAAUUCUCGACCUCAGGAUAACUCAAGGUGUGAAGAUAGCAAUUUAAUUUUAGUUGGACUAAAGAUAUUUGAUAUUUUUAAUUUCCAGUAAGUUGCGCGCUUCAGCCCAAGAAGCGUGCGGUUCGUCUCUUUUUCACUUCAAGUCCAACGGACCUUGGUUUUGCACUUUCUGCUUUCAGGGUUUCAGGAUUUGAAAAAAAAAAAACGAAGUGAAAGCAGCAUACCUAGUGCCUGCCUUUUCUGGAAUGAAAUAGUGCUAUAGGCAUAAGAGGGAACAAAUUGUGUAUUGUCAAGCUCAUCUUCUUCAUCUCCAACAUCGUCAGCAUCGGAUGAUCCUUGAGAACUCACAGGGAAAACUUGGUUGCUGGCUAUUUGAGAAAUUGGAGGAGUUUCACCCUCAACUGAAUCAAAAGAGUCUAUUGUUGCACACACAUGCCACUUGGCUGCUAAGCAUGUAACAGCUUGUGCUUUAUGAGUAAUCCUGACUGCACUUCUCAACAGUAUCAAAAGCCCAGCAAGAAGGCUGACAGAACACAGCUGCAUAUCAAGAAGAAGAAGAUGUUUAUUUCAAGACACGAGUACCGGUAAUAAUCCAGGAACAAAAAGGCAAAAAGACCAAGGCUCUCGUGUUAGAAAUUUGAUAUGAAGUAAAAGAAAAAUAAAGAAACAAAAGACGGCUUGAGGCUUGAUAUUAUCGCUUUCUCAAAAGAAGAGUGAUUGUCCGACUUUUCAGAUAACAGACAAUGCUCUACUAGGAUACAACAAGCCUGUUACCAGUUGGCUUGAAAAGUAUCUGAUUUGAAGUGCAAUACUGACGAAUUGUAGCUACUCAGAAUAGACAUCUCCUUUCGAAUUUAACUUUCAGAAAUAACAAGAACAGUAAUUAGUAUUAUUAUUACUAUUACUACGUUAAAUACAAGAAGUCUUCCUAACUUUUAUAUCUCUGAGAAAUAUGAUGACAGAGUCAAGAGGAAAUUGAAGCAGUUAGCAGUUAAACUUCCGAUUGUCUGAUCGGCAGAUUAUGGCGCUGCAUAGCCAAAAUCUGGCUAUGUAGCGCCAUUUGUUGGUUGACUGCAUCGCCGCAUAGCUGAAUAUUGGCGCUGCAUAGCCAAAAUCUGGCUAUGUAGCGCCAUUUGUUGGUUGACUUCAUCGCCGCAUAGCUGAAUAUUGGCCCUGCAGUACCUUUUACCGGAACAUAACUGUCGCAAGACAUUACUCUUGAAAGCUCAUUACAUGACUCUUCAUCGGUAUAACAAACUGCACACCAUUGACCAUCCCACACCAGAGGAUUAAAAAUUGUACAUAGUUAUAAAUUUAGUAUAUUUGCUCUGUUGUUAGAAAUGCUUGGACAGUGAAGUACAGCAUUAAUUACUGCAUACUAUCAAGAAAAAUAUGCGAUCAAGGACCAAGUGCAACAGUAAGUCACAUUCAUUGACUUAGUUUAUCAAAGAGGCAUCAAGCAAAGAAAUGCAAGGAAUUUCUUUGAAAUAAUUAGAAAAUGAAACACAAGAUCCUACAUUUGACAAACAAAUAGGGAGCUGAUGAGAAGCCAUACCGCAAGUUCACCACUCUUGUAGAUAUGAAGAUCAGAACUUGAUCUUGUGCUCAUGAAAAGGGAGGCAAAUUGACUCGCUGUGAUGAAUACCAAUGCCAACACGAUAAACCUACGAUACCUAUGGCUAAUGAUCCGCAAGUGCCUCCUGAUUCUAAGGUGCUCUCUCAACACUGACUCAACAUCAGAAUCCACAUGGAAGACCUGAGCAAAAUCUUGUAACCGAAGAAUCUGAAGGUAACAGAUCAAGCGGAAAAGGACACACACUAGGAAGAACACGGUCGUCCUAUAGAGCCAGGAGCUCAGCUCCAGAAUGCACGCGACGGUGUCACUCACAAUGACAUUACCUAAGAAAGGGAUUUGGGUUCCACCUGAACUGUACCACCAAAUCUUAUAUAUGCUUUCAGCAGCAAAACAUGGCAGCACAAAAAUGAAUAGGAUCUUCAAUGAUCUCUGCAUACCAAGAAAACGGUCAUUGUUACGUCAUGUUGUUCAAUCUAUAAUUUCACACCAAUUGCAAGCUAGAAACCAUAUGGUGAUUAACAUAUCAAUAAAUAGGCGCCAUUAGUGAAUAGCAGUUCCGUUUUGCUUUGUUUUAUUAGUGGAUAAGGAUUUGGAAGCUCGUUUUUGCACCCCAAGUGUAUGGCCUAGUGGCCAAUGAAGUGGAUGAGAACCAUGAGGUGUCAGGUUCAAAUCCCAGCGAAGGCAAAAAACACUAGGUGAUUUCUUUCCAUCUAUCCAAGCCUUGGUGAAUAGAGUUACUUGGUACAUGUUGCUGGUGGGAGGUGGUAGUUAUCUUGUGGAAUUAGUCGAGCUGCGCAAGCUGGCCCGGACACCACGAUUAUUAAAAAAAAAUAUAAUAAGGAUUUGGAAUAACUGAUUUGUGGAUUAUUAUGAUAGAUUUCUUUUAAAAAAUGAAUAGGAUCGCAGCGGUGAAGAUAUUAACUUUCAAAAAAGAGGCACCAAAACACUCGUUUAUUCACCAGUUGUAGAACUACAACAAUAACAAUGAUUGACUAGUAUAAUCAGUUAUGCCAUCAGCAAAUGUUUGUACUUUUCUUUUAGGAAAAAUAAAACUGUAGAGAUUUGUCCUUUUUACUAUAAAUUUAUUCUAGAAGAAAGUUAUCAUUGUGAGACCUCUUAGUUACACAAUCAUAUGGAGCGUUUACAUCACAUCAAUUCAGUCGCAUCCAAUAGCAUCAUCUGUUUCCUUAUAAUACUAGAAGCGAAAAAUUUAAAGCCACAGAAAAAAGAAGAGAUUUAGAAAAAGAGAUCACAUCAAUCACUAGUGGGUAGAUAUUUGGGGUAAAAAUUCAAUCUAUAGUUAAGUAAGUUAAACUAAAAUAGGGAAACAGGGGAUCCCUCUGCGUUUUAGACAGUCCAAUCAUCAAACAUAUGCCAAAACAGAAUGUCAAAAUCUGUCAUUUUGUUACUAAAUUCAGAAAAUAAAAGAUUGUAUAGAAAGAUCAGCAAAUUUUAACUGAAAUUGAGCACACAAAAAUUUAAGUGAGAGAAUAAGAAAGAGAAAACGCACAUGGAGUUGUUGCAUGUAUCCUUUUCUGACGGUCUCACUCUCAUCACAAAGCUUAUCAAGGAACAAGAACCUACGAAGCCCAAAUUUCUUAACGAACCCAGAAAGACAUAUGAAGGAGAGAGCAGCAACGCCACUGAGAGACAACUGAACAACGUUGUCAUAAGGCCGAUCGUGAGUGGCAUCGCAGUCGGCACAAGCCAAAAGGAAAUGGGAGAGACAAGGGACAACAAUUGUAAACACUAUGAAAACAAACCAAGAAAGACAAGUAGACCAAGUAUCAGAUUGAUCUACACACAUCCACUUUAGCCAUCUCCUAAAACUGCGCAAUUCAUCGUACGCAUGCGAUUUGCUACGGUUAUAUGCUAUGUUUUUGGGCAGUAAAGAUUGGCUUUGGCUUUGGGUUUGGGUUGCGUCUCCCAUUGAUGAAAAUUGGAGAGAGAUUUAUUACAGAGCUAGCACCGGAAUUGGCGGGUCUGGUCAGACGCUUGAGGAUGUUUUAUGGAGUUGAAGAGAAAUUAAAGGUUUAUAUAGGGGGGUCCGAAAUGGUGGGUUACACUUGAUGUUGAGAUACACAUCAGUACAGCUGAGACUAAUUUUGGAAACUAGCAUGAAUUUUGAAAUGAUUGAUCCUGAUUCAGCCACUAUAGAUGCUUUGUUGCGGUUUCGAACAGUUUUUGUGUCGACAUUGACUUAUUUUUUUUGUUUUGUGUCAAGUUUUAAAUAGAGAGACACGGAUAGUGUGAAUUUAUAGAGGCGAAUUUAACUUGCUUGGAGUUAAAAGUUUUGUUUUUACUAUUACUGUUUUUCCGCUUCUAGUAUUUAAAUGUGGUUGUUGAAUAAAAUCCUCUUUCAAAUGUAUUUUGUGAGUCUUUUAGAGUUUAGANNNNNNNNNNNNNNNNNNNNNCNCUAGAUAACAUUUGAGGUUAUCUAGAUAAAAAUUAUUGCAAAUAAAAAUUAACGGUGUUUAACAUUUCUUAGUAAAAUAUAUAUUUUACGUAUAUUUAUUUUAUGUCAGCGUAUAGUAAAUAUUAUGUAUAUAAUAAAAAAUCUAGAUAACAUUUGAGGUUAUCUAGAUAAAAAUUAUUGCAAAUAAAAAUUAACGGUAUUUAACAUUUCUUAGUAAAAUGUAUAUUUUACGUAUAGUAAAUAGAUAAAUAGUAAAUAAAUUCUAUGUAUAUUUACUAUUUGCUAUCGAGAUAAAUCUGUCAUCUUUAUUUCUUUCGGUAAACAAAAAAAUAAAUGGAACAGAUAUUUUGUUAGAUCUUAGAUUUCUGUUAAAAAUUAAAAUGUGUUUAGUGUUAUGACUAAAAGUGCACCACUUUGUUAAAGUAAAUAGACUAUUAAUGCUCUAUGUGGAAGAAUAUGUAUGAUUUUGAGUCUAAAGUCAAAGAUAAUGUAUGGUUUUGGGCUUUUUCUCAGUGUUAUGACUAAAAGUGUACCACUUUAUUAAAGUAAAUGGACUAUUAGUACUCAAAGAAUAUGUAUGACUUUGAAUUUAAAACCAAAGAUAAUGUACCGUAAAUUAUGAGUUUGGAACCAAGCAAUGUAUCAAUAAAGUGUAAAAUAAAGCAAUUGCGGGAGGAAGGUAUCCUUUUGUCGGGAAAAGUUUACAACGCGUACAUGUUACUGGAUUUAUUCUGGAUUCUUCCAAUCAAUCUAAGUUACCUGAACCGUCUGAUUGGUUUCAAUCAAAUUAAUCUUUUAUGUUCAGAGAUCUUAUAUUUUUGUUGCUUUUUGUUGCAAAUAUAUGUUUGCCAAACAUGUCAUUUUCAGAUAAGGAAAUAAAUAUUUCGUGCUAGUAAAUUUCGGAAGCAUGAGUUGGUGAAAGAUGAGUGGUGACAGACUGACAGUGAAGUCAAUGGAGCUUUAAGCUAAAAAUAACACUAUCUUUUAGUCAUCACGGAAGACCUUCCUCACCUAAACCCCCAUGGGCGUAUGUGACUAAAACUUGCACUUUUUUAAAUUAUCAAUUUGCUUGAUCGAGAGGCUAGCUAAUUAAACAUUAAUUUCUUUGAUCCAAAAUGAGUAUGUCUCAGUCAAAUCAAUUUGGCACUAAAUAAGUGUCAACAACGACAAUUACAUACCUAGUGUAAUCCUACAAGUAUAGUUCGGAAAGGAUAGCGUGUACGCAGAUUUUAUUCCUAUCUUAUUGAGGUAGAAAGGUUAUUUUUGAUAGACACUCGGCUCAAGAAAAGUAUAAUCACAAUAGUUUAGAAAAAGAAAUAUGGUAGUAAAGAAGCCAUGAAAAAGAAAGCAGCAACAACAACGAGAUAAUAUCAAAAUCGAAGCAGAAGAACCCUUAGGUAGUAAUAGAAGUCUAAGAAUAAGUAAAUACAAGAAUAAUAUUGUACAACUAGUAAGGAAAGGAAAUACGACUACCUACUAACAUUCUACCCUAAUUCUCGACAUUCACACCUUACUAUCAAGAGUCAUGUCCUCAAUAAGUUGAAAAUGAGUCAUUUCUUGCCUAAACAUCUCUCCCCAAUAUACUUCUUUACCCUAUGUCUACCUCUCCUUAGACCUACCAUUACUAACCUCUCACUGGGGCCUCUGUGCAUCUCCUCUUCACAUGCUUGAAUCAUCUCAGCCCCUCAUCCCGCAUCUUGUCCACAACGGAGGCCACUCCGACCUUGUCUAGAAUAUCUUCAUUCCUGACCAUAUCUCUCUUAGUAUACACACACAUCCAUCUCAUCAUCCUCAUUUUCGCUACUCUCACCUUGUGGACAUGAGAGUUUGUGACUAGCCAACACUCUGGCCCAUACAACAUAAUCGGUCUAACCAUCACUACGUAGAACUUACCUUUAAGUCUUGGUGGAACAUUCUUAUCACCCGAUGUGAGCCUCCAUUUCAUUCAUACCGCUCCAAUACGAUAUGUGACAUCAUCGUCAAUCUCUCCAUUUCUUAAGUGCCGUUUUUGAAAAUAAAGAAACAUUAAUUUCUUCUUCAAAUUGAUCUUUACAUAAAUGAUCUUAAAAAACCCCAAGGAGAGAUAAAGUUUGAGGAGAGACGGAGUAGUUUAGUCAAAUUAAUGUUAUGAUUAAUGUUAUUACAUGAUUUUCUUAUUUGUUCAAAAACUUUAAACUAUUUUGUUCUAGACCAGAGCAUAGUCCUAGCCUAGUAGCCUGGGAGAAUAAACCUUUAAUUCCACUUAUUAUGCAUUCUUUUUAAAAUGCCGCACGAAAAAAAAUAAUAUUUUAUGCUAAAUUAAAUCUGUAAUCUCAUUCGAGGAUUCAUAUUUAGAUUUUACACAAACCCCGUUAAAGGAUUUGGUCAGGCAUAGACACUAGACCGCUAAAAACAGUCAAUUCGUAAUCAUUAUAUAGAUUUAUUUCUAUAUCAAAAUAAUACUAGUAAUAACUUCCCUUAAAGGAUAGGUUCCUACUUGCUAAUACUUCCUCUAUUUGGUCAAAAAUAGAGGUCUCAACAGCAAUAACACUCUUCAUUUAUCCCUUUUAAUAUUUUAGAUGAACUGUUUCUGGAGAUAUUGCAUGCCAUAAAAAAAGAGUACCAGUGCUUCCCCAACAAAAGGUAAAUAAAUCUGUUUCUGCUCAAUGAUUUUCCCCUUCAAAGUUCACAAUAAUUGCUUGUUUUUCUGAAUGAAGAUAAAUUAUUUUGCUCCUUGUACCAUUAUUGGUUUCGAUUCUUCUGGUUUGACUUAUAGGCUAGGAGGUAACGUUCCUUACAAAUAGUUUAGGUUUGUCACGUCUCUAGCCAGUAGCCACAUGGUUUACAGGAUAUCUAAAAAAAUGAAAAACGCCAAUACUUAGUUAAUCUAUAAAUCUAAGUCGAUCGAAGUGUUACAGCGCACACAUAUAAUGCCAUAAAAAUUCAUUUUUAAAUCUCUUGAUAAUGGAUGAGAUGCAGAAUGGAGAAAUGAUCAAUAACAAUCAGAAAAUCGGCCCCUCAUCUUAAUAUUUUAGGGGUUUUCUAAUAUAAGUACGCAAUGAAGUGCUUACUUGUCUUGAUUCCCCCUCCUUUUUUUAUUUCUUUCUUUUUCAUUUUGUCGCCGAAUUUGGAAUUUAAUUCUAAAAAAUAUAUCCAUCUAUCAAGCUGAUGUUAUAUAUACAUAUUUACUAUUUCGGCCUUCGAAAGAGCAAAAGAAAAACGAUGAUAAACUGGUUCAGUAAUUCAAGUACUGAUUUUAAAGAAUAAAGAUGAAAGAAAUCUAAACGAAAUUGGUUUCUCAUCAUAAAACCAACGCGUGCCUUUUUUGUAGCUUUUUAUAUUUCUUUUUGUCGCAAACACAGUUCUAAUAAUCUAGCCUAUAUUUUAUAUGAUGCUUUUGGGGAAUAAUAAUCUUUGCUUUAACUAUUUGUUUACGCACAAUAAUGGAAGACUGGUUAACUAAAAUCAGCGACGAAUCUUAGGCUCCCUUGUCACCCCAUAUUAUUAGUGAAGGAGGUAAUCUAAGAACUAAAAUUGAUUUUGCUUAAGAUUAAUUCAAGCAAUAAAAGGUUUAAUCCUUAUACACAUGAGUUGCAAAAACUUUAUUUUAUACAUAUAUCUGUAAAUAGUAUUUUUUUCUAAAAAUGAAUACUCCAUGAAUCUAAAUAGUAGUUCUAGUGGCACUUUUUGAGAAUAAUAUAAGGUAAUAUCAAUUUACGACAUAAAGUAAAUACUUAAAAUUACCACCAUCCAGAUCCAAUCCACUCACAAGCUAAUUUUUGACAAUAAAUUGGCAUCACUUGCGUAAAAUCAAAUAAACAUAACUACUUAUAAUCCAAAGAUUUAUAUAUUUACAUACAUUAUUGUAUACGGUCGAAAUAGAUUUCGACAUUCGUACGAUCGAUCAAGGUCAAAACAUAAUAGAUCGGAGUAAGACUUCGAGAUGAGUUCCGAAGAUGGUACAAACAAGCUUCGAGCCCGAGGGACCGAUCAAUGUCGAGCUCGAUAUCAUUAUCAAGCUCGAAUUCAAAUCGAACUAUGAUGCAAAGUAAAGUUAUCGAGCUUAUGAUUCAGAGACCGACCAACACUGACCCUAAAUCGAUGCAAGGAUCCGAGUCAGAAUCGAGCUCAAGUCAAGAUCGAGAGCUCGAGUCAAGACCGAAAAUUCGAGUCAAUAUCGAGCUCAUAGACAAGAGCCGUUGCAAUUCUACUAGAGGAGAGAAUCCCGACAAGAAUUAUGGAAAAGCUGAUUUAUCAUGGGUCUUCCACUAUGUAUUUUUAAUUAUAUCUAAAGUAAGAUCCCUCUACUAUAAAAUGGAUGGUUAUUAUUUCUGUAAGGACCAAGUUUUUACUUACAUUGUAAUUCAAGCAUCAUAUUCUCCUAUAGUGAAGAGUUGUUCUUUUAAACUUCAUAAAUUGAUUCAACCCGUUCAGUCCUAAAAAUCAUCUUCUUUACAACUUUUUUUUUACUUUGUACUUUUUGCAAUCCAUAUCUGAUAUUUCUAUUUAUCCUUACGGUUUGUAUUAAGCUAUACCACAUAUCCUUAGAACUACGUACAAAUUUAACUCUAUCCGUUUUUCAGAUAAACAGUUUGGCGCCCACCGUGGGGCUAAGGAUAACAGUGUUUGUUUGAUACAAAUCUGCAACACACACCAGCUUACGCUCGUCUUUUGAGGGUUUCUCUGACUUCGAAUUAGCAAUGGAAAACCCUCGAUUAAUGGCUUUACCUACCGACAACGAAGCCAGCCUUCAAGACGAAACCAAUAACUUGAUGCCCAGGGCCGGAAGGCCGCUUAUCGAUGUCAUUGAAGCUCGAGUCGAAGUACUUGAAGCUCGAGCUGAAGUACCGCUAGAUGUCAACUCGCAUGUGGCCUUUGAGGCAAACCAACGUUCUAAGCCUGAAAAUAGCAUUCAUGGCAGUACGCGAUCUGCAGAUCGAAACUCCCAUAACGUGGAGGAGAACAGAGUCAGCUUGUGUAUGAUCUUUGAAAUGUUGCAAGCCCAGCAAGUAGCGAUAGCUCAGUUGCAGAGCCAAACCCAACUACCAAGCAGACCGGAGUCCAGUCCACCUCGAGAAAUUGCCCACCGAACGGAGCCAGCCGUAGUAAGGUCAAACGAGUAAGAAUAUGGGACUACUCCCGAAAUUGCUAAAAUACUUGAGGAGCUCACAAAGCGAAUCGAAACCAAUGAUAAGAAAGUAAAAACAUAUAAUUCCAGGGUCGAUCAAAUCCCAGGGGCUCCGCCCAUGAUAAAAGGGUUGGAUUCUAAGAAAUUCGUACAAAAGUCUUUUCCCUCGAGUGCAUCCCCAAAACUAAUCCCCAAAAAAUUCCAUAUGCCCGAAAUUCCCAAAUACAACGGAACGACCGACCCCAACGAGCACGUCACUUCUUACACGUGUGCGAUCAAGGAAAAUGAUUUGGAAGACGAUGAAAUCGAAUCUGUGUUGUUAAAGAAAUUCGGAGAGACCCUCUCGAAGGGAGCAAUGAUUUGGUAUCACAACCUACCACCAAAUUCCAUCGACUCGUUUGCCAUGUUAGCAGAUUCUUUUGUAAAAGCACACGCUGGCGCCAUAAAAGCCGCAACAAGGAAAUCGGACCUUUUCAAGGUAAGGCAAAAGGAUAACGAGAUGCUGAGGGAAUUCGUAUCUCGUUUUCAAAUGGAACGAAUGGAUCUGCCACCAGUCACAGAUGAUUGGGCUAUCCAUGCUUUCACUCAAGGUUUGAACGAACGAAGUUCGACGGCUUCACGGCGGUUGAAGCAUAACCUGAUAGAAUACCCAGCCAUCACGUGGGCCGACAUGCACAAUCGGUACCAAUCAAAAAUUAGGGUCGAAGAUGAUCAAUUGGGGUCUGAACCCACUGCUCGAAGGGAUAUUAAUCGAGAACAAGGUCCGUUCGGGGAUAGAUACCAACUGUAUAACGGACCACAGAACCAGUGAAUCGAGACAUAACCUCGGACGAAAUAACAAAGGAAAUGAUCGAGAUCAAGGGUCCCGGGGGCUGAUGAACAGAAGUAGGUUCGACAGGCCUGCCGGAUCUAGGGAAGCGCCUCGGUUAUCAGAGUAUAACUUCAGCAUCGAUGAAUCCGCCAUCGUGUCGGCUAUCAGACGCAUCAAAGAUACUAAAUGGCCUAGAGGAAUCUCAAUCAAAUGUGCGAAUAUCAUGGCACCCAUGGCCAUAGAACGGAAGAUUGCAAGCAACUAAGAGAGGAGGUAGCCCGGUUAUUCAACAAAGGGCACCUUCGAGAAUUUUUAAGCGACGGGGCGAAGAACCAUUUAAAAACCAGGGAUUUUGGCAAGAAGAACCACAACACGUCAUUCACAUGAUCAUCGGCAGUGUCGAUACCCCUCAAGGGCCGGUGCUUAAAUGCACAAAGACAUCGAUUGUGAGAGGAAAGCGAUCUCGAACUCAGGAUUACGCACCCAUAGGAACUUUAUCUUUCAAUGAUGAAGAUGCAUAAGGAGUCAUACAACCUCAUAACGAUGCACUGGUAAUAUCCGUACUUAUGAAUAAAACUAAAGUUAAGCGUGUAUUAAUUGAUCCAGGUAGCUCGGCCAACAUCAUUAGAUUGAAGGUCAUAGAACAGCUCGGUUUACGGGACCAUGUCAUACUUGCAACCCUGGUUCUAAAUGGAUUCAAUAUGGCAUGUGAAAUCACCAAAGGCGAGAUAGUUCUACCGAUAAACGUGGUCGGGACAAUCCAAGAAAUGAAGUUCCACGUAAUCGAAUGCGACAUGAGGUACAACGCCCUUUUUGGAAGGCCAUGGAUCCACAACAUGAGAGCUGUACCUUCGACCCUACAUCGGGUCCUUAAAUUCCCAACAUCGAGAGGAGUCAAAAUAGUGUACGGAGAACAACCGACCACAAGAGAAAUGUUUGCCAUUGAGGAAGCAAAUCCAAUAUCCUUGCCUUCGCCAGUAAAGGGAUCGGGCUCAAAAGGGGAACGAGAUACCAAAUAGCAAUCACAGACAUCGGCCUUAACCCGACCAGAUAAUCAGAAGAUCGACGAAGAUGAUGAUCAAAGGAUCCCUUGAUCCUUCAUAAUUCCAGAUGAUUCCGACGCUACCAAAUCAACGAUUGAGGAAUUGGAGCAAGUCACACUAAUCGAGCACCGGCCCGAACGGAAGGUAUACCUGGGAACGGGAUUGACCCCCGAACUUAGGAAAAAACUUAUUCAAUUUUUUAUCGAUAACAUUGAUUGCUUUGCCUGGUCCCAUUUAGAUAUAACAAGGAUCUUGCCGGACAUAACAAUGCAUCGGCUAAGCUUGGACCCCAGGUUCAGACCGGUGAAGCAAAAGAGAAGACCCUAGUCCGAGGUAAAGCACACAUUCACAAAAGGACGAGGUAAUAAAACUUCUCAAGAUAGGGUCCAUUCGGGAGGUGAAAUAUCCCGAAUGGUUAGCCAAUGUAGUUGUAGUGCCUAAACAAGGGAACAAACUUAGAACAAACUUAGUUGUAGUGCCUAAAAAAGGGAUCAAAUGGUCCGCUGCCCAACAUCGAUCGCAUGAUUGAUGCCAUGGCCGACCACAAGAUCCUUACUUUUCUCGAUGCCUAUUACGGGUAUAAUCAAAUCCAGAUGAACCUGGAAGACCAGGAAAAGACUUCAUUUGUCACCAAAUAUGGAACAUAUUAUUAUAAUGUGAUGCCAUUCGGGUUAAAAAAUGCAGGAGCUACUUACCAACGCCUGGUGAAUAAAAUGUUCGAAGAACAAAUAGGUAAAUCAAUAGAAGUUUAUAAUGAUAACAUGCUAGUUAAGUCCCUGCGCGCAGAGGACCAUUUGACCCAUUUCCAGGAAACGUUCGAGAUUUUAAGGAAAUACAACAUGAAGCUCAACCCCGAGAAAUGUGCUUUCGGGGUCGGUUCGGGCAAGUUCCUCGGCUUCAUGGUUUCAAAUUGGGGGAUCGAGAUUAACCUCGAUAAAAUCAAGCCCACCGAAGACAUCACCAUCGUGGAUGGCGUGAAAGCCGUACAGAGGCUAACGGGAUGGAUUGCAUCCUUAGGCCAAUUCAUUUCGAGAUCGUCAGAUCGAAGUCAUAAAUUUUUCUCUCUACUCAAAAAGAAGAACGAUUUCGCUUGGACUCCGGAAUGCCAACAAGCAUUAGAGGAAUUAAAACGAUAUCUAUCGAUCCCACCGCUACUUCAUACUUCAAAAAUAGGCGAAAAACUUUGCUUGUAUUUGGCAGUAUCAGAAAUCACGGUAAGCGGUGUCCUAGUUUGAGAAGAGCAAGGUACGCAAUUUCCCAUUUAUUAAAUAAGUCGGACCUUAGGAGAAGCAGAAACUAGAUAUCCGCACCUAGAAAAAUUGGCACUUGCAAUGAUAAGCGCCUCUAGGAAGUUAAGACCGUACUUUCAAUGUCACCCCAUAUGCAUAUUAACCACUUACCCGCUUCGUAAUAUUUUGCACAAGCCCGAACUAUCAGGCCGAUUGGCCAAAUGGGCCGUCGAACUCAGUGGGUACGAUAUCGAAUAUCAACCUCGUACGACCAUCAAGUCUCAAAUUUUAGUAGACUUCGUGGCCGAUUUCAUGCCAGCUCUCAUACCCGAAGUUGAAAAAGAACUCUUGUUAAAAUCGGGUACAUCAUUGGGGGUUUGGACCCUCUUCACAGAUGGUGCUUCGAAUGUGAAUGGGUCCCCGCUUGGCAUUGUGUUGAAACCCCCCAUGGGUGGCAUCAUUAGGCAGUCUAUCAAAACUUCUAGGUUAACUAACAAUGAGGUCGAGUACGAGGCCAUGAUUGCAGGUCUCGAGCAGGCCAAAAGCCUGGGAGCAGAAAUGAUUGAAGCUAAAUGUGACUCUUUGCUGGUAGUAAACCAAGUAAACAAAACCUUCGAGGUUCGAGAAGGCAGAAUGCAGAGGUAUUUGGAUAAAUUACAGGUAACUUUGCACCGUUUUAAGGAAUGGACUCCGCAACAUGUGCCUCGAGAACAAAACGGUAAGGCUGAUGCACUCGCAAAUUUGGGGUCAUCGGUCGAGGAAGAUAAGAUCGAUUCGGAGACUGUCGUUCAACUCUCAAGGUCUGUAAUCGAGGAGGGGCACGCCGAGAUAAACUCCACAAGAUUAACAUGGGAUUGGAGAAAUAAGUAUAUUGAAUAUUUGGGAAACGGAAAACUCCCAUCGAACCCUAAAGAGUCAAGGGCCCAACGAACCAAAGCUGCUCGAUUCACAUUGGCUGAAGAUGGAACAUUGUACAAAAGGACGUUCGAUGGACCAUUGGCAGUAUGCUUGGAACCGGGAGACACCGAUUAUGUUUUACGAGAGAUCCAUAAAGGCACUUAUGGGAACCACUCCGGCGCCGAAUCACUAAUUCACAAAAUCAUCAGAGCAGGAUAUUACUAGGAUAACAUGGAAAGGGACACUAAGGAGUUUGUUCGAAGAUGUGAUAAAUGUCAAAGGUUUGCACCGAUGAUCCAUCAUCCCGGGGAACAACUUCAUUCAGUCCUAUCCCCAUGGCCAUUCAUGAAAUGGGGGAUGGAUAUCGUCGGCCCCCUACCGUCGGCCCCAGGUAAAGCUAAAUUCAUUUUAUUUAUGACUGACUAUUUCUAUAAAUGGGUUGAAGCACAGGCGUUCUAGAAAGUAAGAGAAAAAGAGGUCAUAGAUUUCAUCUGGGAUCACAUCGUGUGUCGAUACGGGAUACCCGCAGAAAUAACAUGCGAUAAUGGAAAGCAAUUUAUCGACGGUAAAGUAACAAAAUUUCUCGAAUAUCAUAAAAUAAAAAGGAUAUUAUCGACACAGUAUCACCCCAGUAGGAACAGACAAGCCGAAUCAACAAACAAGACUAUCAUCCAAAACUUGAAGAAAAAGUUGAACGAAGCCAAAGGGAAAUGGAGAGAAAUUCUGCCCGAAGUCCUAUGAGCAUAUCUAACAACAUCAAAGUCUAGUACAUGAGCAACUCCGUUUUCCUUAGUGUAUGGCUCCGAAGCCUUAAUUCCAGUCGAAGUCGGAGAACCCAGCGCAAGGUUUCGACAUACAUUGGUGGAAUCAAACCAUGAGGCAAUGAACACUAGCCUCGAAUUAUUAGAUGAAAAAUGAUAAGUGGCACUCGUUCGAAUGGCUGCACAAAAAUAACGAACCGAAAGGUACUACAAUAGAAGAACCAUCCUCCACCACUUCAGGAUCAGAAACUUAGUCCUAAGGAAGGUCACUAUCAAUACUCGAGAUCCUAAUGAAGGGAAGCUCGGCCCAAAUUGGGAAGGACCCUAUCAGGUCCUUUACAUAGUCGGAAGGUGAUCUUAUAAACUCGGAACGAUGGAUGGCAAACCAUUAUCGAACAACUGGAACAUAUCACUCCCCAAACGAUAUUAUUGUUAAGGUAUGAUUCUCUCUUUCCUUUCGCCCAUAUAUACAUAUCUGAAGCUAAUCCAUUGCAGGAGUUCGAUCAAAGAUGUCGAGACCUCAGGUUUUAAAGUACGCGUUGCACUCUUUUUCCCCUUAGAUCGGCUUUUAUCCCAAAUGGGUUUUCCCGGCGAGGUUUUUAACGAGGCAACAACCAUGUGCUACCUGAGGGCAAUUCAACAGUAUCCAAGGCUUCUUUAUAAUCAACCUCGAAUACGGGGGGAGGGGAGGGACAUUAGCCCUCAAAUAUAUCGCGUUUUGAUACAAGAAAGUUAUUUCGUAACAACAGAGUUCCAAUAGAAAAAGUUGUAAGAGCCAAAUGGUCAAAACGAACCAUGCUCAUCUAGUUAGCCCGAGCCCUGACGCAAAACAUGAACACAUGUAUAAUGACUUGCAAAAAAAAGUUCUCUUCUAUACUGAUAUCUUAUAUCCAAGAAAAAUUCCUCUAUUUUGAGAUUUAUUAUGCAAACAGGAUCGGGUUCGAAUCAUCCACUCGAUCAUUAAGCCUACGGGCUACUUUUAUUUCGAGUUCGAAUCAUUCACUCGACCAUUAAGCCUAUGGGCUACUUUUAUUCCGAGUUCGAGCAAGCACUCACUCGACUAUUACGCACACUGACUACAUUACUUCGAGUUCGAAUCAUUCACUCAACCAUUAAGCCUACGAGCUACUUUUAUUUCGAGUUCGAUCAAGGACUUACUCGACCAUUAUGCCCACGGGCUACAUUACUUCGAGUUCGAAUCAUUCACUCGACUACUAAGCCUACGAGCUAUUUUUAUUUCGAGUUCAAGCAAGCACUCACUAGAUCAUUAUGCCCACGGGCUACAUUACUUAGAGUUCGAAUCAUUCACUCCACCAUUAAGCAUACGAGCUACUUUUAUUUCGAGUUCGAGCAAGUACUCACUUGACCAUUACGCCCACUGGCUACAUUACUUCGAGUUCGAAUCAUUCACUCGACCAUUAAGCCUACGGGAUACUUUUAUUUCGAGUUUGAGCAAGUACUCACUCGACCAUUACGCCCACGGGCUAUAUUACUUUGAGUUCGAAUCAUUCACUCGACUACUAAGCCUAAAGGCUACAUCACUUCAAGUUUGAGUAAGCGCUCACUCGGUUAUAAAGGCUACGAAGUCCAAAGAAGAUCAAGUUGCCUAAAUCCUUGUGAAAAUAGUCAUAAGGCGUGAAUAAAAUCUUCACAAGAUAGAAAACAAAACAGAAACAAGUCGGCAAAAGGGAUAUUUUUAUAUACAAUAUUGUUUACAUAAUUGAUUACAACAUAAAAAUUGAGGACUAAGCUUCUUGGUUAUCCCCAUAAGCAGUGUCUUCUCUAUCAGGCUCCUCCCCCUCCCCCCUCCCCGCAUUUUCCGACCCGCUCUUACUCUCAUCAUCAUCAUAAUCAUCAUCAUUAUCAUUAUCAUCAUCAUCGGAAACCAAGGCUUUAUCAUCGGCUUUGAGUUCUUUGGCCAUUUUAAUCUUUUCAGCGAGGUCGAAACCUCGAGCAUGGAUCUCCUCAAGGGUCCCCCUCCGAGAUCGACACUUAGCAAGUUCAGCGACCCAAUGUGCUCGAGUAUCGGCGGUCUCGGCUGCCUUUCUUGCUUGGACCUGGGCAACUUCAGCAUUGGCCCGAUAGACGGCCACGAGUGCAUCCGCACCGGCCUUUGCCUUUUCGGCGUCAGACUCGGCCUUGGCAAGUUCAAAGGCCAACCGAGCAUCGAGCUCCUCUAUUCUUCUUGCUUGGACCGAGCCUUUCUCCUUCAUUUUUUGAAGUUGGUUUUCGGCCGAUGAUAAUUGGGCUCGAGCAGUUUCUUUCUCUAUAGCAAAGCGGUUCAUUCCUUCUUUCCACUUUAAAGACUCCGCUUUUAUCACAUCGACUUUUUCACGGAGUUUUCCGAUCAUCUCAAUUUUAUGCUGCAGCUAUGAGAUCGAAAAAUUAGCCGUCAUUCCGAUAUCGAGCCCAUAGGAUUUUAAAAGUAUUAUUACCUUCGUUCUGAUCUUGGUGAGCCUUGGCCCACUCAACUCGGAGGUCUUUUAUUUCUUCCCCCCCUUUGGCCUAAGAGGAGUUUUAGGGAGUUUCUCUCCUCUGUAACCCGUUGAAGCUCGGCCUCGUAUCGACGCAGCUCGGUUCGGGACCGAGAACAUGAUUCUCGAUGAACUGUCAUGGCCUGCAAAGAAAGAAGAAACGAAGUUAGAAAAAAAAAGAAGCAAACUUAAAGGUAACGCCAUAUAAUUUAAGGCUUAACUGAUUCAAAGCCUGCUGCACUCCGUGAAAAAGAUCUGAUGCGUCACUUGUACCGGUAGUGUCCUCGACACCGAUAAACAGGUCACGAAAAGGAUCUUCUCCAUCAUGAGGCCUAUCUAAUUCGAGGGCCCCCAAAGCUUNNNNNNNNNNNNNNNNNNNNNNNNNNNNNNNNNNNNNNNNNNNNNNNNNNNNNNNNNNNNNNNNNNNNNNNNNNNNNNNNNNNNNNNNNNNNNNNNNNNNNNNNNNNNNNNNNNNNNNNNNNNNNNNNNNNNNNNNNNNNNNNNNNNNNNNNNNNNNNNNNNNNNNNNNNNNNNNNNNNNNNNNNNNNNNNNNNNNNNNNNNNNNNNNNNNNNNNNNNNNNNNNNNNNNNNNNNCAGAAAAAGCAGAAAAGGUGACGAGUCUUCGAUUGCUACUACCCAAAGUGAAUCACCUGGGGCAUUCUCUUCGGUUCGAAAAGAUUCGAGAAGAGUCCCUUUAGACAUAUCCCCCAUUUGUUGGCUUCGAUGGGAAGCGUCUUCGAUAUCCAACAGCUCGGAGACUCUGCCCGAAUCUUUCUCCGAUAUAUCCUCAGUUCGAGGUGGAGCCUUAUGAACCACCAUAGAUCCAGCUACCUGUGGAACGUCGGUGGUCUUCGUCAUUCGGGCCGCCAGCGCAGACCCAUCGCUAUCUUCUUCUUCUUUUUCUUCUUCUUCUUUUUCUUCUUCUUCAUCUCUCAGACGCAGAACUGAUUCUAUGGCCAAAGGGAUGAUAUUCUUAUUCGGCUUACGAGCCGUCCUCUUCUUCGGUUUUUUAUCUUCGAGGAUGGGGGCUCUUUUCCUCUUAUUUUCGUUCACCGGCUUUGGGACAGAGGCCGAAGCCUCUUCCUCGACUGAUGAGGGCCUCAAAACCGCAUCCUUGCCCACACCUACACACGAAAAAUUUUAUUAAAAUGUGUGAAAAACAUCUUAUUCAAAUUAUCAAAAGAUAAGAGAAAGGUACUUACCGUGAUUUUUGGCCUCCCAUCGGCCCUUCGACAAGUCGCGCCAUGAGCGCUCGGCAUAGUAGGAGGUCGAAACCAGAUCACGUACCCAGUUCUUGAGAUCGGACACUGCGCCGGGCAUCCAGGGGAAUAUUGGUGAAGGAAAUGAAAGGAUAAAAUAGUAGGAGAUAACAAUAGAAUUACACUUACGCUUCAUGUUCCACUCCUAAGGAAAAGGCAUCUUUUCGGUCGGAAUCAGGUCCGAAGUCCUUACUCGAAUGAAUCUGCCCAUCCAGCCUCGAUCUUUAUCCUCGUCUAUACUCAAGAACAGAGCCUUGGUAGCUCGACGUUGGAGUUUUAUUAACCCUCCUCGAAAAAGGCGAGGACGGUAUAAUCAGACAAGAUGAUCGAGGGUGAAAGGCAUCCCCUCAAUUUUACUAACAAAGUAUCGGAUCAAAAUAACGAUCCGCCAAAAGGAAGGAUGUAUCUGGCCUAGGGUUAUUAGGUAUUUACGACAAAAAUCUAUGAUAACGGGGUCGAGGGGACCUAACCUGAAAGGGUAAGUAUACACGCUUAAAAACCCUCUCACGUGAGUAGUAAUAUCCUCUUCGGGAGACGUCACUACCACUUCUUUGUUCUCCCAAUUACAAUCUUUUUUAUCCGCUCGAUAUGCUCCCGGAUUAUCAAACAAAUAUAUCUCAAUACGGGCUUACAUCGUCCAUGAACCAGCGAACCUUUAUCGAGUUUGAAAUCGGAGGUAAGAACACACGCCGCCGGAAUGCACUCCUCAGGCCGUGGAUCCACCGGUGUUUUGUCGGCGGCGGAUUGGGAAGAAGAACCUUUUUCUUUUUGGGGGACGGUUUUUGAUGUUUUCACCAUUUUGGAUUUAAAAAGGUAACAAAGAUUUGGUGGUUUAGAAGAAUAACCUUACAAAGAAGAAUCAUAAAUUUGCGAAUAAACUCAGAGAGUACGAAAAAGAACUUGGGAAAUUUGGAAGAUUGAAGAUGUAAAAGUGGUAAAUGAUAAAAGGAAGGGCUAUUUAUAGAUUAAAGCAAUGGCGGUUCAGUAUCAGCGGUGGCCGACCACUGUCUGACAUGCAUUAAAUGCCUUGAAAAACUAAAUUGACGGGACAACUAUCAUGUGGGUCAUGGUCGAGCCCAAUGUAAAUGUCAGCUUAUAAUCCGAUCGAGCCGUUGAAAAAUCGUAUCGUUUCCCACCACAUCCUUCCCGAGAAACGAGGGGACUAUUUGUAUAUGGUCGAAAUAGAUUUCGGUCUUCGUACGAUCGAUCAAGGUCAAAACGUAAUAGAUCGGAGUAAGACUUCGAGAUGGGUUCCGAAGAUGGUACAAACAAGCUUCGAGCCCGAGAGACCAAUCAAUGUCGAGCUCGAUAUCAUUAUCAAGCUCGAAUCCAAAUCGAACUAUGAUGCAAAGUAAAGUUAUCGAGCUUAUGAUUCAGAGACCGACCAACACUGACCCCGAAUCAAUGCAAGGAUCCGAGUCAGAAUCGAGCUCAAAUCAAGAUCGAGAGUUCGAGUCAAGACCGAAAACUCGAGUCAAUAUCGAGCUCAUAGACAAGAGCCGUUGCAAUCCCACUAGAUGAGAGAAUCCCGACAGGAAUUAUGGAAAAGCUGAUUUAUCAUGGGUCUCCCACUAUGUAUUUUUAAUUAUAUCUAGAGUAAGAUCCUUCUACUAUAAAAUGGAUGGUUAUUAUUUGUGUAAGGACCAGGUUUUUACUUAUAUUGUAAUUCAAGCAUCAUAUUCUCCUAUAGUGAAGAGUUGUUCUUUUAAGCUUCAUAAAUUGAUUCAACCUGUUCAGUCCUAAAAAUUAUUUUCUUUACAACCUUAGUUUACUUUGUACUCUUUGCAAUCCAUAUCUGAUAUUUCUAUGUAUCCUUACGGUUUGUAUUAAGCUAUACCAAAUAUCCUUAGAACUACGUACAAAUUUAACUAUAUCCGUUUUUCGGGUAAACAAUUAUCAAAUAAUAUGAAAACUAACUCUUCAUAUUAUUGUAUACAACUUGUACUUUAGUGCCAGCAAUAAAAAUGUAAGUAGAAAAAGAAAAUUUCCUAUUUUGAAAUCAAAAGGUCCAAGAAAACUAAAAAAAAAUAGUCAUAUAAUUAGUUGAAAUGUUGAUUUGAAUAUCACAAUUAGCAAAAAAUAAAGGAUCUAAGAAGACAAACAUCACAUCAUAUGUCGCAGCAGUUACAAGUGUCCUACGUAUACAGGCAAACAUUCAAUUACGCCGAUGGCCAACCACAUGUGAUGUCGACUUUCCUUUCUUUAAGAUGCAUUUUGAGGGAGAAAAAAGAGGAGAAAAAAGCUGUAUUCUUCUGUACAUCUGUUAUAUGCAGGAAAUAAUAUUCAAGGGAGUACAUUUUAUUGAAAGUGACGGUCAACAAAUUUGGUUAACACCUGCUAUGAAAUCAUUGGGAUCAAACAAAAAAAUUAUUAAACCUUUGGCUUGUACAGAAAAAUUUUGAAUUUCAUAAUUGAAUAUUGUUUUGAUUGAUUUUUUUGCUGGUUACACUUUAUUGAAAUAUAUUUUUAUUAAGUCUUUCAAGUUAUGCGCUUGAUGACUUUUAUCAAUUAUAACUCGAAUCUUCUUGGUUGGAGGGUUUCUCAGUACUCCUUUAUGUCAUGAAUGUGAAAUUUGACAAGGUUUGAUUUAAUUUGAAAGACUAUUACAAAUAAACAGAGGUAUUUCAAUUUCAUCUAAUGAACAUAGAUAUUCUUAAUUAGCUUAAUCUUCUAGUAUGCUCAUGUGUUCUUUACGAACAGUUCAAUCACAUAUUGCUUUCUUUUAUUUGCUAAUUACAAUAAGGGAUUGUUACACAAAUAGUCGAUCAUAUUCAAUGUUUACUUUUUUUAGUCGGUAUACAUAAAUUAUAUAUUGAUUAUACAUAUUUAUACAUAUAAUAUAUAUGUAUUGUACAUAUAUUAUACAUCUGCUGGCUAUUUAGAGUUUAAGAGAUUAGAUGGGUGGUUAUUUGAGUUAAUUCUUCUUACAAUAACUUAGAGCCCGUUUGGAAAUAAGAAAUUUUUUCUUUUUUUAAAAAAAAAUUCACUUUUUUUCAAAAUCAGCGUUUGUUCAUAAAAUUUCCAAUUUUCACUGUAUUUUGAAAAUUUUCGAAAAUUUGAAAAACUCCAAAAAGCUAUUUUUCAAAAGUUUCACUGAGAUCACUCACAAAACUUCAAAAACAACCCAAAAUUAUAUUCAUGUUCAAACACAACUCUAAAUUUCAAAUACUAUUUUCACUUGAAAUUUUUUUCCCCCUAUUUUUGAAUUUUACAAUUCUUAUGUCCAAACGCCCCUUAGUUUGUUCCAGGAUGUUUGGGCAAAGAGUCCGAACCGACUCGGAGCUCUAACGCCGAAUUAGGGUAGAAAAACUCUAUUUUUUGGUCUUUCACUCUAAAUAUGAAUACAGAAAAUACACACAUUUACAUAACUACACAAAUACAAAAGUUGCACACUCUUUGGCCGUUGAAGAUUUUUUAGAAGGCUACAACUGUUAACAAAUUCGAAAAUUUAUUUUCGAUUCUCAGUUCUUUUAGCCAUUGCUUUCUCUUUAAAAUUUAUAUCGUCAUAUUUCAUAAUGGAUAAAACUGUACUCAUUAUUAGUGCUUAAAUUUAUGAAAAAUAUUUAGCUAGCGUUUGGACAUAGAUUUGAUUGAAACUUGAAAAAAGAAUUUUUGAAAUUGUGUUGAAAAAUAAUGUUUGAAAGUUGAAGUUGUGUGAGUGCAAGGAAAAUUUUUUCCAAAAAACUGGUUUAGACAUUUUUUGGAAACUUGAACAUUUUUGAAAUUUUUUUCCCAAAACAUAAUUAUAUUUCAUAAAUAAAUGUUUUCAAUUUAUUUUUGAAAAACUGAAGCCAAAAUCUAUGGCCAAAUUUUUUCUCUUUUACAUCUUAAACUUACUAACCAAAUUAGUGUUGCUUCCUUAUGAUCAUGUCUUUUGCAUGUUAAUUUCCAUUUCAAUUAACUGAUAGGUUUGCCUUUAAUCUUUACUUUAUAACUCAAAUAAUUUUUUAAUAAUAAUUAACUAAUUUUAUUAAAAUAUAUACUCAUUGAUAUGAGGUACAUGCGCAACGCGCGUACCCUAAGACUAGUUUAUCUAAUAGCAUGGACAAUUUAAAUGGAAUGAUCGAUAGGAAUGGCCCUAUAAAGGGUUGGUAUUUCAAAAUUAUCGCCACUUUUCAAAGUAUUUAGUAAAUGAUCCUCGGUCCCAUACACGCAGACUCUAACCAAUUGGUAUGACUUUGUGGUUGUUCAAUUGUUCACUAAGUUCUACAAUAUUGGCAUGACUUUGUGUUAUCUACAUACAAUCUAUUUAUUAGAUUAUUCACAAACUCUACCCAAUUUGCAUAUAUUUUGUGCUUGUUUAAUUGUUCGCCAAACUCUACCGAUUGGCAUAAUUUUGUAUUAUCUGCAAUUUAACUAUCUCUUAAAUUAGUCAUUAAAGUCUAUGUGAUUGACAUAAUUUUUCUGUGAUAGUUCAACAAAGUAUUUUUUGAAAUUACAAUUUUAAUUUCGAUCAAAUCACUCUAAAUCUGCUCCAAAUGAUCUCAAAUUUAAAACAAAACCUGUAAUUACCAACAUAAACAAUCUCCAAUCACCAAUUUAGCCAUAUAACACCAAAUCAGUAAGAGCCACUUUGUCUUUUUCAAUACUUUCUAAGGACGAAAAAAUAAAGUUUUGAGAUUUUUAAAGUAACUCACUAAAUUGGUGUUUGUACUAAAAAUUUAAGCAUAAAUUAUCAAUAUUUAAAUAAUUUUAACAAAAAUCAACCAUUAACUUUCAGUUUCUACCUUUAAACAAAAAUUUUAAGCUUCCAAUAUCGAAGAACUACGGUAUUCUUGGAGAAAAAGAAACUUAUUUUUGUAACAAAGUAAAAAAUAAUGACAUAAAGAUUGGUCCCGUAGAGUACAACCGAUGCAAUUUUGUGAUUUAAAUGGCAUAUGUCGCGUAAAUUUACCAGUAAGAUUUAUCAAAACAUAGAAAAAUAAGUUUUUGUGGGCUGGUUUGUUUAUUAUAGCCACAUAAAUAACGAUAUACGUAGUUUUUAAAUUUUAUUUUUGUAAUUAUAAAAAUGCAGAAUAUGUCUUGGUAACUCCUCAUAUCUCGGUCACAUAGCAGAAUCCCCGGUUAUUUUACCUUUUUUAAAAUAAUUUUAAUUUUAUGGGUACCUACCGGUAUAGGUGACAGACAAUUAUAUCCAUUCACUGAUUACUUACUAUCUUUCAUCAGCACAUAUACCAAGCAACUUUAUUCGCUGAUGCUUGAAGGGAUAGGAAGAAAUCAGCUACACUUGAUAAAUCAGUUAACUAUAUAGUUUAUGAGGAAACGAAAUCAAAUUAAGAGUAUUACGUAGAUUGGAUAAGGAUUUUCUCUUCACGAUGUUUUUGAAGUUUAGCUUUCCUACAUGCAUUUUGGCAAUAGCAAACAAGUUUGGCUACCAAUUUGGUUCUGUUUUGUUAGAAGGAAACCAUUGAGACAUUUACUUAUUACAAUAAUUUCGAAGACGGAAUUCUUGGGGGCUAAGUGCACAAGAGACCAACCAUACUAUGUAUUUACCGGCACCAAUCGACACUUUGUAGGGCAGUAUGUUUGGUGUUAGAGUAUUUCAAAUUAAUCGAAUAUCUCAUUGUUUAUAUAUACAAUUCUAAUACUCCAUACAUAUUUGUGAUCCGAAAAUAAUGAGAAAAGGUUAAACCUUCACAAAGGAAAAAAAAAAGGGGGGAAACAAACGCUUGGGCAGGUACAUUUAGUCAGAGUUAGAAUGCUGAGUUUAUGAGUUCUGAUUUUAAAAAAGACAGUUCGCUGUAAAUUUUUGUACUUAUUAAGUGAUCCUUUUAAUACAAAUACAAGAUUUGGGGUAAUGUUUAUUGAACUCGUAAGCGAAACUGUAGCGCAUGGCUUUGAAAAGGAAAUGAGGUCCUACAUACGGAACUUUAUGUCAUCUCUGCAAAUCUGCCUAUAAUUUUCAAAGUGUAGUUUCAGUUUACAGGAGCUGGCCUACUAACCAUUGGGCAACUGCAGGUGGCUCUUUAACUUUCUGAGAGAGAAGCAGUGGGUUCUGAACUUUUGAUGCUUCAUAGCAAAAGCCCCUAAAUGAGGGAAGAGGUUUCCAUCGGGAUGCAAUACCACCGGUUCCUCGGUACCUAUACUGGUAGGAGGUAGUAAAUAACCAGUGAAAUAGUCCAAGUGGUUCGUACACGGACACCACCACUGUUAUAUAAUUGACCUACUGAUGUUAUACGCCAUCACUAAUAUCCAAAUCAAACAUGGGCAACUAGUAUGUUUCUUACAAUUAACCAAUGCUAGAGAAGAUUCUGUGUUCCUCUCCAAGAUGGAUCAAGACUACAAUACAGAGAUUACUCUACAUAAGACCAGAGAAGAGAUAACAAGCUACAGGACAUAAGCAUAUAACAGAAUUUAAUAGACACUUCUUUUCAGUGAUAGUUGCUCACUAUGUCAAUGAAAAGCCAUUGCAUGACAUUCACAAAUACAAACACGCAUACUUCACAAGCAGCUGUUUUAAUGAGAACUACAAGACAAUAUUAAGGCAACUACAGACGUCAAGUUAAUUAAAAGGAUUCUCCGAAAUCACGUGCUAAUGACAUGAUCUAAGGAAUUCAAGCAUGAUACCCGAGAAGAGAUAAUUGGUUACAGGACACAAGAUACAUAAUUUAUUAGAGAAUUUGUUUAUGAAAUUUGCUUACAAUGUGAAUGAAAGCCUUUGCACAGCAAGCCAUACAGCAUUCACAGAUAGAAACAUGUAUAUACUGCAAGUAGCUACAUUAAUAACUAUAAGGACAAUACUAAGGAAACUACACACAUCAACCUAACAAAAAGGGAUCUCCAUAAUUACGUACUAAUGACAUGAUUUGAAGAAUUCAAGCAUAACACAUAAGAAGAUACAACAAGUUACAGGGCAUAAGCUAGAAACAUAAUCCAUUAGAUCUUCUGAGAUAUACUCGCAUACAAUGUAAGUUAAAAUCCAUUGCAUGGCGGCAUGCCAUACGGCAUUCACAUUUACAAAGACGUAUACUUAGCAAGUAGCUGCAUUAAUGAGAACUAUAGAACAAUAUUAACUCUGACGCUAACAAAAAAGAAUCUCUAUAUUACAUAUUAAUGACAUGAUCUGAAAAAUUCAAGCAUGACACACAAGAAGAGAUAACAAGUUACAGGGCAUAGCAAGAAACAGAAUCCACCAGUUCAACCGAGAGAAUAUACAAAGUGAGUUAAAAGCCAUUGCAUGGCGUGAGUAGCUGCAUUAAUAAGAACUAUAAGAACAAUUUAAGGUAACUAUAGACAUCAAGAUAAACAAAGGGAUCUCCAUAAUUACCUAUUAAUGACAUGAGCUAAACAGUCCAAGCAGGUUCCUAGCAGCUACCACACAAAACCAUGCACAGGAAAAAAAGUCUUUGUGUAACCAUAUAGAGUAUAAUGCAAAAAUACUCACACCAAUGACACAUUGCAAGCAAGUUAGAAUAUAUUACAAGCUGAACACCAUCUGCAUCAGAACCCAGUCUUACUACAACUACUAAUGCUUCAAAUGCUUAUAUCAAAAUGCUGUACAUAUUCAGGUAAAGCUAAAUUAAACCAAAAAUUCCAAUCAUCAAUACUCCAGCUUCAGAUUAUAGUUGAUAUGAUCUUUUGAUCCAACUCUAUCAAAUAACCAUCACUACAUUCACACAGUUGCCCUCAGAUGAAACUAAAUGAAUAUAAAAAACUUCACAUUAUAACAAAUAGCAGGAAGACUGGUAAUUGUCAAUUUCCAUCUCAGUGUUAGAAGAAGUAAAAUUCUAACUCUUCAACACAUCAAAAGUAAUAUAGGUGUUCCAACGCAAUGAAAAUACAUCCAUAUAGAAAAAUAAGCAUUAUAUGUAGAAUAUAAAACAAGUAAAAUAUAUCCAUAUAGAAAAAUAAGCAUUAUAUGAAAAAUAUAAAACAAGUAACCACGAAUACUAAUAUUUGAUCAUAUGAAGUCUCACUUGUUACAUGCCGAAAGGGGAAUAGAUAACAUCAUACACAUAUAAUAACAGCGCAGAAAGAUCUCAAAUUUCCCUCUCAUCUUGCAUGUCAAUAUAUAAAUAAAUACUAUUUCAACCCAAACAACGUAGGAGUUUAAGACACGCAAUAAGAAUUAAUUUGACAUACACACUGGUCCAUCCAUCCAACAUGAAAUCCCAUGAUAUAAAAUAUGAGAAGUAAAAUUAAACAAGUGAAUUCUCUUCCAACAACAGAUGAUGACUCAUAGCAGACAUGAUCUGGCCUUUAACUCUAUGGUUCUCUUUUUUCUUUCUUUUUUUCCACAUGCUUUCCUCCGCCACCCAAAAAA
This 27409-nucleotide long non-coding RNA is filed under the name Nicotiana tabacum (common tobacco). Its description in RNAcentral is "long non-coding RNA (NTAB_LNC006678)". The record is from RNAcentral. Lineage: Eukaryota; Viridiplantae; Streptophyta; Magnoliopsida; Solanales; Solanaceae.